UACGUAGGGUGCGAGCGUUAAUCGGAAUUACUGGGCUUAAAGCGUGCGCAGGCGGUCUGUUAAGACCGAUGUGAAAUCCCCGGGCUUAACCUGGGAACUGCAUUGGUGACUGGCAGGCUUUGAGUGUGGCAGAGGGAGGUAGAAUUCCACGUGUAGCAGUGAAAUGCGUAGAGAUGUGGAGGAAUACCGAUGGCGAAGGCAGCCUCCUGGGCCAACACUGACGCUCAUGCACGAAAGCGUGGGGAGCAAACAGG
RNAcentral lists this ribosomal RNA (254 nucleotides) under uncultured bacterium. Its description in RNAcentral is "partial 16S ribosomal RNA". It matches the Rfam family "Bacterial small subunit ribosomal RNA", at positions 524 to 776 of the family's 1533-position model. The record is from RNAcentral.